GACGAACGCUCGGCGGCGUCGCUUAACACAUCGACGAAGUCGAGCGGGUAAGGGCCCGUUUCGGGGGUACACGAGCGGCGAACGGGUGAGUAACACGUGGGUGACCUGCCCUUAGCUCUGGGAUAAGCCUGGGAAACUGGGUCUAAUACCGGAUAUGACUCCAUGACGCAUGUUGUGGGGUGGAAAGCCUUGUGCGGCUAGGGAUGGGCCCGCGGCCUAUCAGCUUGUUGGUGGGGUGAUGGCCACCAAGGCGACGACGGGUAGCCGGCUUGAGAGGGCGACCGGCCACACUGGGACUGAGACACGGCCCAGACUCCUACGGGAGGCAGCAGUGGGGAAUCUUGCGCAAUGGGCGAAAGCCUGACGCAGCGACGCCGCGUGGGGAUGACGGCCU
This 394-nucleotide ribosomal RNA is filed under the name uncultured bacterium. RNAcentral's name for it is "bacterial SSU rRNA". It matches the Rfam family "Bacterial small subunit ribosomal RNA", at positions 28 to 417 of the family's 1533-position model. The record is from RNAcentral.